Callithrix jacchus (white-tufted-ear marmoset) is the source of this 107-nucleotide small nuclear RNA. NCBI's taxonomy places the organism in Eukaryota, Metazoa, Chordata, Mammalia, Primates, Cebidae. The record is from Ensembl.
GUGCUCGCCUCUGCAGUACUUAUACUAAAACUGGAACAAUACAGAGAAGAUGAGCACGGCCCCUCUGCAAGGCUGACAUGCAAACUUGUGAAGCGUUCCGUAUUUUU